RNAcentral lists this unclassified non-coding RNA (345 nucleotides) under soil metagenome. RNAcentral's name for it is "partial contains 5.8S ribosomal RNA, internal transcribed spacer 2, and large subunit ribosomal RNA". The stretch from base 1 to 120 matches the Rfam family "5.8S ribosomal RNA", at positions 35 to 154 of the family's 154-position model. The record is from RNAcentral.
GAUGAAGAACGUAGUGAAAUGCGAUACGUAAUGUGAAUUGCAGAAUUCAGUGAAUCAUCGAGUCUUUGAACGCACAUUGCGCCCCCUGGUAUUCCGGGGGGCAUGCCUGUCCGAGCGUCAUUGCUGCCCUCAAGCACGGCUUGUGUGUUGGGCCUCCGUCCUCCUCCCGGGGGACGGGCCCGAAAGGCAGCGGCGGCACCGCGUCCGGUCCUCGAGCGUAUGGGGCUUCGUCACCCGCACUUGUAGGCCCGGCCGGCGCUUGCCGACACAUCAAUCUUUUUUCCAGGUUGACCUCGGAUCAGGUAGGGAUACCCGCUGAACUUAAGCAUAUCAAUAAGCGGAGGA